UACGUAGGGUGCAAGCGUUGUCCGGAUUUAUUGGGCGUAAAGAGCUCGUAGGCGGCUUGGUAAGUCGGAUGUGAAACCUCCAGGCUCAACCUGGAGUCGCCAUCCGAUACUGCCAUGGCUAGAGUCCGGUAGGGGCCCACGGAAUUCCUGGUGUAGCGGUGAAAUGCGCAGAUAUCAGGAGGAACACCAAUAGCGAAGGCAGCUCGCUGGGACGUUACUGACACUAAGGCGCGAAAGCGUGGGGAGCGAACAGG
RNAcentral lists this ribosomal RNA (254 nucleotides) under uncultured bacterium. RNAcentral's name for it is "partial 16S ribosomal RNA". It matches the Rfam family "Bacterial small subunit ribosomal RNA", at positions 524 to 776 of the family's 1533-position model. The record is from RNAcentral.